RNAcentral lists this ribosomal RNA (420 nucleotides) under uncultured bacterium. Its description in RNAcentral is "bacterial SSU rRNA". It matches the Rfam family "Bacterial small subunit ribosomal RNA", at positions 355 to 774 of the family's 1533-position model. The record is from RNAcentral.
UAAGGAAUAUUGCUCAAUGGGAGAAAUCCUGAAGCAGCAACGCCGCGUGGAGGAUGAAGGGUCUAUGACUUGUAAACUCCUGUAAAGAAGGAAAAAAUUCCCAUUUGAUGGGAGAUGAUGGUACUUCUGGAGUAAGCCCCGGCUAACUACGUGCCAGCAGCCGCGGUAAUACGUAGGGGGCAAGCGUUGUCCGGAUUUACUGGGUGUAAAGGGUGCUCAGGCGGAUUUGUAAGUCAGAGGUGAAAUCUUACAGCUUAACUGUGAAACUGCCUUUGAUACUGCAAGCCUAGAGUAUGGAAGAGAGUGAUGGAAUAUCUGGUGUAGCAGUGAAAUGCGUAGAUAUCAGAUAGCACACCAAUGGCGAAGGCAGUCACUUGGUCCAUUACUGACGCUAAAGCACGAAAGCGUGGGUAGCAAACA